GAGAGGAGCUGGUGCUGGCGGCGUUUCUGUUCCUCGUGUUCUUCUUGGCGGCGUUGUAGGGCUAGCUUCUCGCGCUCGGCUUUGGUUAAGAAGACGGGUUUCUUCGGCGGCAAGGAUGAAGAGACGGCGGCGAGGCCAUCGCCGGAGCGUUUCAUUGUACAGAAAAGGUUUAGGGUUUCGGGAUAAAAUUAAAUUUCUGAUGUUGUUUCGAUGCCUUCGGGAGCCUUGAAGAAAAUUGAAGAGGAUCGGAGUUUAAGUUUAUAUAGUGCGACACUGGGCUGCAUCAAAAUGGGCCGCCAAAAUGGAAAAUGGGCCUGGGCCUCACAACAGUUUUUGCAGCAACACAAGUAAAAUGCUCCAUACUCGUAAUCGGAAUAAAAAUAUAAAGGAUGCUGCUAAAUGUAUCAAACAAAUUAAGAUAGAGGAGAGGUCGAGAAGAGAGGAGCUCCAAAAAAUCUGGGCUUCAACAACAUCUAGGGCUUGUGAGUUCGAUGCUCGUUCGGCGGCUCCCGUCUUAAUUUGGGCUUGCUACUGGAUGGGUGAUGGAAUUAUAAGGGCUUCUGGGGAUCGUGGAUGCUGUUUGCUCGAGGUUCCAUUGUUGUUUUAGCAUCAAGUUUUGUGAUGGCAGCUCAUGGAAUGGAGGGUGGAGGUUGUACAAUGGCGGCGUUCUCCUCGUGGCCUCCCAAUUUCGGCAACGGAGAGAGCCUUGGUUCUCUGUGGCGGCAGCUUGGAGUUUGGCGGUGCGGGUUCGGUGGUACGCGUCAUCGAGUUAUUGUGUUCUCUACUGACGGCGUGGAUCUCAUAAGGCUCGACUGACUACGAGCAACGGUGGAUUGCGGUAAAGCGCGUGGUCAAAGGCGACGACGAGGCUCGUGGACGGAGAAGACGGCGGAGCUCGUGAUCGGUGGAGUUGGCGGUGUUGUAUAGUGGGAGAUGUAUCCAGGCCUGAGUCAACAACAUUGGGCUUUGAGCUCGGCCUUAUUCAUGUGUCCUUGGGCUACUAUGGUGGGCUAGGGUUUCUCUUAGUCCAAUUCUUUAUUUCUUAGUGCUUUGGGUGGGGUCUUGUUGUAGGCCCACUUUUAUUUCUUUUUUCUUUUUAGAUAGUUUGUUUGUCUAAUAAUGCUCAACAUUUGGGUGAGUGUAGUGGGUCUUGGCCCUGUAUCCCUUGUUCAAUAGUUAAUAUAUAGUCUAAACCAAUUUCACCAGUAUUGAUGUACACCAUAAAAGUCUCUAAGCGGAUACACUGCUGGGUUAAAUUAUGUGCUAUCUUUGUUCAAGGUUUAAGAGUCAUUGUCAAAUGUGCAGUCGGUGCACUAGUUACAUGAGUACGUAGUGGAUGUAAUAUGUGAUCUUCGGAUCCCUUAGAUUGAACGAGAGAGCUCAUUGAUUUGUAUGAUCUUUUUCAAUUAAUGAAGUUAUCAAUUUCCUUCACACACAAAAAUGUACCCAGAAAAUUUGUAAAUAGACCCAACAACAUAAUUUUUG
RNAcentral lists this long non-coding RNA (1485 nucleotides) under Fragaria vesca (wild strawberry). Its description in RNAcentral is "long non-coding RNA (FVES_LNC000710)". Lineage: Eukaryota; Viridiplantae; Streptophyta; Magnoliopsida; Rosales; Rosaceae. The record is from RNAcentral.